This 253-nucleotide ribosomal RNA is filed under the name uncultured bacterium. RNAcentral's name for it is "partial 16S ribosomal RNA". It matches the Rfam family "Bacterial small subunit ribosomal RNA", at positions 524 to 776 of the family's 1533-position model. The record is from RNAcentral.
UACGGGGGGGGCAAGCGUUGUUCGGAAUUACUGGGCGUAAAGGGCUCGUAGGUGGCCAACUAAGUCAGACGUGAAAUCCCUCGGCUUAACCGGGGAACUGCGUCCGAUACUGGAUGGCUUGAGUUCGGGAGAGGGAUGCGGAAUUCCAGGUGUAGCGGUGAAAUGCGUAGAGAUGUGGAGGAAUACCGAUGGCGAAGGCAGCCCCCUGGGACGUGACUGACGCUCAUGCACGAAAGCGUGGGGAGCAAACAGG